RNAcentral lists this ribosomal RNA (466 nucleotides) under uncultured bacterium. RNAcentral describes it as "partial 16S ribosomal RNA". It matches the Rfam family "Bacterial small subunit ribosomal RNA", at positions 28 to 507 of the family's 1533-position model. The record is from RNAcentral.
GACGAACGCUGGCGGUGUGCUUAACACAUGCAAGUCGAACGGUAAGGCCCUUUCGGGGGUACACGAGUGGCGAACGGGUGAGUAACACGUGAGUAACCUGCCCUCAUCUCUGGGAUAACAGUCGGAAACGGUUGCUAAUACUGGCUAUGAGCUUGCACGGCAUCUUGUGGGUUGGAAAGAUUUUUUUGGUUGGGGAUGGACUCGCGGCCUAUCAGCUUGUUGGUGAGGUAGUGGCUCACCAAGGCUUCGACGGGUAGCCGGCCUGAGAGGGCGACCGGCCACAUUGGGACUGAGAUACGGCCCAAACUCCUACGGGAGGCAGCAGGGGGGAAUAUUGCACAAUGGACGGAAGUCUGAUGCAGCAACGCCGCGUGCGGGAUGACGGCCUUCGGGUUGUAAACCGCUUUCAAUUGUGACGAAGCUUUUUGUGACGGUAGCAGUAGAAGAAGCACCGGCUAACUACGUG